Molecule: long non-coding RNA, 516 nt
Filed under: Vigna radiata
Lineage: Eukaryota; Viridiplantae; Streptophyta; Magnoliopsida; Fabales; Fabaceae
Description: long non-coding RNA (VRAD_LNC009676)
Source: RNAcentral
AAGGUGAAGGAAGAGGCUGUCCUCCUUUGUUUGGGCAGGGAAACUCUAAGAGUUUUUGGUGUUUCUGGAAAAGAAGAGAAGCGACGUAGGAAGGAGAGGAUUCUGACACGACGGCGACCCCAGCGGCAGUCAGUGGCACCAGCGGCACCCAUCUCGCGUUUCUGUGGCGACAACUCAUGACGACGGUGAUGGAGAAAUAGUGGCAGACGACGUUCGAGGGUGGAAGACUCCAACCCUAGGCUAGCGUGAGAGGAAGAGAAGGAAAAGGGGGUGACGUCGUGGCCGGCUGUGAUUCCAGUGACGUUUGCUGUCGCUGGUGACGUGGUGGGCGUGGUAGAGAGUGCAGGUCUGGUUGGAAAAGGGAGAGAGAGACCCUGGUCUCUGGAGGUUGAGAGGAAUGUUAGAAUGAAGUGAGAAAGUUAAACCCCUAAGGGGAAUUCUAGGUUAAACAAAACCUGGGCCUAAGUUUUGGGCCGUUUUUUUUUUUAAAAAUAAAAUAAAACUCUCUCUUGCAGU